UCACUCCUUUUGGUUACCAUCCAGCAAAGGGAUAAAUAAAAAAAUCGAACCAGCAUGAGGAGGAAUGACGUACUGCACGUGAUGACCAUCUUGUUUCUCAUCGGGUGCCUUGCGACAACGGAAUGUCGUCUCAGAGCUGCUGGAAGAGGCAUCUCAGAUGGUCAGACAAACACGACCACUGACGGCAUUGUGGUCAACUCGACGGCGAUCGGUGAGAGCAAGCGUAACGCCAUAUUUUGCAGUCUCAAGGGAUGUACCGGCAAUGGCGGGGAGCUGUAUAAGUGCUAUUGCUGCGUGAAGCCAGGCCUGACGUGUUUCCCGUCAGCGGAUGACUGCGAGUUCUAUUGCCAUUGAAGAUAGCCGGGAUUACGUACGCACCCUAUAUUAGCUUGCGUGCAGAAAAGGUGUAAAGAUAGACCGGCACGUACUAUGGGUUCAAUGUACUGAUGCAUAAGAUAUCUUUACCAUGAGUAAUAAUUUAAGUUCUAUUUCAGCUUAGUA
Molecule: long non-coding RNA, 501 nt
Organism: Aegilops tauschii subsp. strangulata
Lineage: Eukaryota; Viridiplantae; Streptophyta; Magnoliopsida; Poales; Poaceae
Source: RefSeq, a predicted model, not a curated record